AAUAAGCGGAGGAAAAGAAACCAACAGGGAUUCCCUUAGUAACGGCGAGUGAACCGGGAAAAGCUCAAAUUUGAAAUCUGCCAACAGGCCGAGUUGUAAUUUGUAGAUGGCUACACUGCAUAAUAGUAGAUGCUCAAGUUCUUUGGAAAAAGACAUCAUGGAGGGUGACAAUCCCGUGAGGCAUGUUACUAGGAGCAUAUAGUGGGCUUUCUAAGAGUCGAGUUGUUUGGGAAUGCAGCUCAAAGUGCGUGGUGAAUACCAUGUAAAGCUAAAUAUGGACGAGAGACCGAUAGCGAACAAGUACUGUGAAGGAAAGAUGAAAAGCACUCCGAAAGGAGAGUGAAAUAGUACGUGAAAUUGUUAAAGUGGAAGGGCUUGAGAUCAGAAUUGGUAGUUUGGGUUCCACGUCCUCUUGGGGGCGUGUACUCCCUUUCCACCGGGCCAGCGGGAGUUUCGUCUCUUGGGUAAAAGCAGUGGAAUGUAGCAGCUUGUCUGUAUUAUAGCCUCUGUUCAUACAAGACGUCGAGAC
RNAcentral lists this ribosomal RNA (529 nucleotides) under Wickerhamiella pararugosa. RNAcentral's name for it is "eukaryotic LSU rRNA". It matches the Rfam family "Eukaryotic large subunit ribosomal RNA", at positions 45 to 583 of the family's 3401-position model. The record is from RNAcentral. Lineage: Eukaryota; Fungi; Ascomycota; Dipodascomycetes; Dipodascales; Trichomonascaceae.